AGCCCUCCCUCAGGAAGUAUGACAUACUGCCGGAACUGUGGCUAAUGGUGCGGACCACCCUGCUCACUGUUAGCAAAGUGGGUAGCUACCCUCUCUUCUGGAAGCCCCUCUGCAGCACUCCUCUUGGGAGUAGAAAAGGAAGUGGUCAAGACCUACAUUUGGGAGCUGAUCCGUCUUGCUCUCAGUUAGGGCCCAGCCCUUCUGUGGGGACCAGGAAAAUCUUUGCUCACCUGGAGAAGCUGCUGGUUCAGCCCAACUUUAUCUAACGCCAAAGCCUCAUUUAAGGCACUGAGCUUGACAGCUGCAGCCCGAAGAUCAGCUACUUCUGUCUUCAGGGUGUUUUCAGAACUCGACAGCUCUGCAAUUGACUGCUCUGCCUAAAAAACAAAAAGGAUUAAAGAGUUUCAUAUUUCCAAUUUUCCUGGAACAGUAAACAGUUCACAUUCCCAACACUGCUGCUUUUUGGUACAGAGAUCAGUUAAUACUCCAUUCCCUCUCCUGCAUUCUAAACAAGUUUUCCCUUCAUUCAUUCAUUAAGGAGUGAGACAGGACCUCACAGUAUAGAGAUACCAAAGUUAGGAUAGAGAAAUGACUAUGAUUGUAAUGAUGCCACAGAAAAUGUA
RNAcentral lists this long non-coding RNA (623 nucleotides) under Homo sapiens (human). Its description in RNAcentral is "CEP250 antisense RNA 1 (CEP250-AS1)". Lineage: Eukaryota; Metazoa; Chordata; Mammalia; Primates; Hominidae. The record is from RNAcentral.